RNAcentral lists this ribosomal RNA (497 nucleotides) under uncultured bacterium. RNAcentral's name for it is "partial 16S ribosomal RNA". It matches the Rfam family "Bacterial small subunit ribosomal RNA", at positions 28 to 507 of the family's 1533-position model. The record is from RNAcentral.
GAUGAACGCUGGCGGCGUGCCUAAUACAUGCAAGUCGAGCGAACAGAUAAGGAGCUUGCUCCUUUGAAGUUAGCGGCGGACGGGUGAGUAACACGUGGGUAACCUACCUAUAAGACUGGGAUAACUUCGGGAAACCGGAGCUAAUACCGGAUAACAUUUAGAACCGCAUGGUUCUAAAGUGAAAGAUGGUUUUGCUAUCACUUAUAGAUGGACCCGCGCCGUAUUAGCUAGUUGGUAAGGUAACGGCUUACCAAGGCGACGAUACGUAGCCGACCUGAGAGGGUGAUCGGCCACACUGGAACUGAGACACGGUCCAGACUCCUACGGUAGGCAGCAGUAGGGAAUCUUCCGCAAAGGGCGAAAGCCUGACGGAGCAACGCCGCGUGAGUGAUGAAGGGUUUCGGCUCGUAAAACUCUGUUAUUAGGGAAGAACAAAUGUGUAAGUAACUGUGCACAUCUUGACGGUACCUAAUCAGAAAGCCACGGCUAACUACGUG